RNAcentral lists this ribosomal RNA (405 nucleotides) under Triticum aestivum (bread wheat). RNAcentral describes it as "partial small subunit ribosomal RNA". Lineage: Eukaryota; Viridiplantae; Streptophyta; Magnoliopsida; Poales; Poaceae. The record is from RNAcentral.
AUGGAUGUCCUCACGGCGAUCUUCAGGAAGGCGGAGGAGGCGGUCCUCUUCGCCUCGCUUCACGCUCGCGGCAUCCACCAUCGCCUCUCAUUGUACGCAGACGGCGCCAUCUUGCUACUCAGUCCGUCGGUGGCUGAGAUGGACGCGGCAAAGUAGCUCCUGGAGUGCUUUGGAGAGGCCAAAGGGCUGCGGUGCAACUUCUUGAAAAGCUCCAUCUCCACGAUCCGCUGUCAGGAGGAGGACAUUCGGCAACUCCUCGCGCUGGCCGGCUGCAAAUUCCAGGCGCUACCUAUCACAUACCUCGGCCUCCCUCUUUCGCUACGGGCCCUGACCCGCUCGGAGCUUCAACCCCUCAUUGAUCGGAUCGCCGCACGGUUGCCAACAUGGAAAGCGGGUCUCCUCCAU